GACCCCUUAGCUCAGUGGUAGAGCGUGUGAUUCCAGAGCGAUUUGAACUGCAGAUCCGGAUGUCCACAAGGUCAAGCGUUCAACUCGCUUAGGGGUCA
Molecule: non-coding RNA, 98 nt
Organism: Armillaria luteobubalina
Lineage: Eukaryota; Fungi; Basidiomycota; Agaricomycetes; Agaricales; Physalacriaceae
Source: the annotation of a GenBank genome assembly